GCGUCUGUAGCUCAGUUGGAUAGAGCAUUAGCUUCCGAAGCUAAAGGUCAGAAGUUCGAAUCUUCUCAGGCGCU
This 74-nucleotide transfer RNA is filed under the name Gammaproteobacteria bacterium. Its description in RNAcentral is "tRNA-Arg(ccg)". It matches the Rfam family "tRNA". Rfam says of the family: Transfer RNA (tRNA) molecules are approximately 80 nucleotides in length. Their secondary structure includes four short double-helical elements and three loops (D, anti-codon, and T loops). Lineage: Bacteria; Pseudomonadati; Pseudomonadota; Gammaproteobacteria. RNAcentral also lists the same sequence under 4 other names. The record is from RNAcentral.